Molecule: ribosomal RNA, 482 nt
Filed under: uncultured bacterium
Lineage: Bacteria
Description: bacterial SSU rRNA
Rfam family: Bacterial small subunit ribosomal RNA
Source: RNAcentral
GACGAACGCUGGCGGCGUGCCUAACACAUGCAAGUCGAACGGGACUUAGUGGAAUGCGGCUUCGGCCAAAGGAAACUAAGUUUAGUGGCGAACGGGUGAGUAACGCGUGAGGAACCUGCCUUUCAGUGGGGGACAACAGUUGGAAACGACUGCUAAUACCGCAUAACAUACACGGACCGCAUGAUCUGUGUAUCAAAGCUUUAUGUGCUGAAAGAUGGCCUCGCGUCUGAUUAGAUAGUUGGUGGGGUAACGGCCUACCGAGUCGACGAUCAGUAGCCGGUCUGAGAGGAUGAACGGCCACAUUGGGACUGAGAUACGGCCCAGACUCCUACGGGAGGCAGCAGUGGGGAAUAUUGGGCAAUGGGGGAAACCCUGACCCAGCAACGCCGCGUGAAGGAAGAAGGCCCUCGGGUUGUAAACUUCUUUUAGCAGGGACGAAGGACGUGACGGUACCUGCAGAAAAAGCAACGGCUAACUACGUG